RNAcentral lists this small RNA (130 nucleotides) under human gut metagenome. RNAcentral describes it as "Clostridiales-1 RNA". It matches the Rfam family "Clostridiales-1 RNA", at positions 22 to 156 of the family's 166-position model. The record is from RNAcentral.
UAUAAUGCAAGGCUGCUUGCAGACGGAGCGAUAUAUCUAUUAGAUGGGCAAACAGGCAUGAGCAAAAAGGGUGAUAACCCGAUUUGCGAAUGUAUGUUGUGAUUUCGAGAGUUCGCAGAACGGAGAAAUC